This 147-nucleotide ribosomal RNA is filed under the name uncultured fungus. RNAcentral describes it as "partial small subunit ribosomal RNA". It matches the Rfam family "Eukaryotic small subunit ribosomal RNA", at positions 1294 to 1461 of the family's 1831-position model. Lineage: Eukaryota; Fungi. The record is from RNAcentral.
UUAGUUGGUGGAGUGAUUUGUCUGGUUAAUUCCGAUAACGAACGAGACCUUAACCUGCUAAAUAGUUACGCGAACCUUGUGUUCGUGGCCAACUUCUUAGAGGGACUACAUACGUUUAGUAUGUGGAAGUUUGAGGCAAUAACAGGU